UUAAUUCAGUUUAAUUUCCUAAAAAAAGCUCAUAAUUUCUUCUUAUCUUUGUUUUGAACGGGGAAAAAAACCCUAGUCCGAAUUGAUCUAUUUACUUUAUACAAAAUCCAUAAUUCCUCCCAUAAGACAUGGAUUCAUUAGAGGACGAUUGUUGUUGGGAUUUUCUUGAUUAUAACUUCAUCGAGGAAACCACGACUUCUUCUGAUUUCUUAUGGCCUAAUAAUCACAGUGGUGGCGUGGAUAUUGAUUUUUCAUCUGGUGGUGCUGUGGCGCAAGAAAAACAGUGCACAAGAAAGAGGGGACACAGUGAUUCUUGCAGCAAGCCAAGGACCAAAGCUUGCCGUGAGAAGUUGCGGAGGGAGAGAUUAAAUGACAGGUUUCAGGAUUUGAGCUCUGUUUUGGAGCCUGGGAGACCUGCCAGAACUGACAAACCGGCCAUUCUUGAUGAUGCUGUUAGAGUUCUAAAUCAAUUGAAAACUGAAGCUCAGGAGCUCAAAGAAACAAAUGAAAAGCUACGGGAAGAAAUAAAAACUUUGAAGGCUGAGAAGAAUGAACUUCGUGAAGAGAAACUCACACUGAAGGCAGAUAAAGAAAGGAUGGAGCAACAAUUAAAGGUUAUGGCUGUUCCACCUUCUGGAUUCAUGCCAGCCCAUCCUGCAGCUUAUCAUGCUGGAGUGAACAAGAUGGCAGUUUUUCCAAGCUAUGGUCUGAUACCAAUGUGGCAAUUACCUCCGGCUUCCCGUGAUACAUCACGUGACCAUGAGUACUGGCCCCCUGCUGCAUAAUUUUUUUUCCUUUUGUUCUCUCUCUGACUCUGUUCCUGUCCAAUUAAUUUUCUGUCAACAAUUAGAUGCUUUCUUCUAGAGUUGUCCAACAAUUUUUGUC
Molecule: unclassified non-coding RNA, 885 nt
Filed under: Hevea brasiliensis (rubber tree)
Lineage: Eukaryota; Viridiplantae; Streptophyta; Magnoliopsida; Malpighiales; Euphorbiaceae
Source: RNAcentral